Molecule: long non-coding RNA, 359 nt
Organism: Olea europaea var. sylvestris
Lineage: Eukaryota; Viridiplantae; Streptophyta; Magnoliopsida; Lamiales; Oleaceae
Exons: 3
Source: RefSeq, a predicted model, not a curated record
AGAAAAGGAAGCAUGAUGAGAAUGGAGUUAUCAAUUACAUUCAGUGACACAAGAAAACUUAAGAGCCCCAUGGUUGAUUAGAUGUGAGUGGCAAAGAUAGCUGGCUGUGAGUGGCACAUUUUAUUUUUCUUCAGAUUUGCAGUUGAGAAUUUGAGGAUCUGUUACUUACUGUUGUCAAACUAUGUAAGAUGUCAAGAAAAGUCCCAGUUAUGGAGCAUAGAGUAAGUUCAAGGUAAAAAUACUGAAAAUGAACUUUUUUGUAUCGCAACAAAGGCUAUUAAAAACUUUGAUCAGUCAGUUAAAUGAUAUUUGGUAUUUUGGCAAUUCAUAUUUUUUAUAAAAUAUUUUCAUUGCUCGAA